Molecule: long non-coding RNA, 1529 nt
Organism: Acyrthosiphon pisum (pea aphid)
Lineage: Eukaryota; Metazoa; Arthropoda; Insecta; Hemiptera; Aphididae
Exons: 4
Source: RefSeq, a predicted model, not a curated record
AUUAAGGAAUUAUGUAUUAAUACAGGUACGGUUCGCAGGAGGGACAGUUGCCUACUCUGCCACCCCCGUAGUACCGCCUAUGGUUGCUGUUGGCGGAUGUUUUCGAAAACUUCCGUGAUCUAUGUAUGUCAACAUACAAUUUGGACGCAGCACACUAUUUCACCGCACUCGGGCUUAGUUUUGACGCUAUGGUCAAAAGUUGGCAUUGUUGUCUGAUGUUAUUGAUGUUUGAGAAUGGUCAUUGGUAUUCGUAGUAGAUUGGCGCAGGCGUGUAUGCGGCACGCGAAGGCGAACAAUGUGAAGACACCGGGUUAUGACAAGACUAAGGAGAAAUUGUGGAUUAUAUAUCAGGAUUGUAAGAAUAUAUUUAAUUUAUUUUUUAUUUUUCAAACUUUUUUAUCUUUUUUAUACUUUAUAGGUAACAACUUGUACGGGUGGCCGAUGUCAGAGUACAUGCCGUACGGUGGUUUAAAGUAUUGAAACUGAUGACAACGUUUGAUAAGAAGGAAAAUUACAUCGUUCAUUAUAGAAACCUACAGCAGGCUAUAGAGAAUGGUUUAAUAGUUGAAAAGACAGAGUUUUGGAGUUCGAUCAGUCGGAUUGGUUGUCAAAAUAUAUUAACCUGAACACGGAGAUGAGAAGGCAAAUAAUGAGUUUGAAAAAGAUUUUUUUUAAUUAAUGAAUAACGCAGUAUUUGGGAAAUCUAUGCAAUCGAAAAGGAAGGAAAUGAAGAUGGAGUUAGUGUUAUGUAAACUUGUUAAUUGUAUAUACGUCGAACCGUCCAUUGGCGUAUAUUUAUAAUAUACACUUAGUAAAAGUCCAUCUAUUGACUCCAUGGUGAAACCGCUACCUCUCCCACUGUACUAAUUUUUCUCGAUCAACAAAUUAACAUACGCCCUCUUUAUAAUCUCACUAAUGUUACUCUCUGCAAACAUUUCGACCGCUGAUGUUUUAAACGCCCGGUUCUCUGACGAGUUUACUACGUUGGGGCGAUUAUAGGUAGCCUCGAGUUUAAGAUUAAACUUAAUCGCUCCUUGUUGAACAUAUGUUUUUAAUAAUUGAUUUAGUUCAGGGUCGAGUGAGUGAAUAAAGUCUAUAUAGUUCACUAUCCCCCCUAUAUUUCUAGCAUAGUACCAAACUAUUUUACGGGUUCAGGUGGAGGGGUAAAUAUACGUCACACACGUACGCAAUCAAGGAUCAAGACUUUCAGGAUCAAGGAAUCAAGGGAUCAUACAGCAGAACAUACAUUUUCAUACUACUGAUGAUAUUAUACUAUAUGGUUUUUUGUUUAAUAUUAUAACGUGAAUUAACAAUUAAAAAUAUGAAAUUCAAUUUGAAUUCGGAUGAUGUAAGAAAAGUUAUUAAAGCACGUUGUUUACUUUUUCUUAUAUUCAAAUAGUCCUAUUUAGUGUUUACCUAAUUAAUGUCUAAUGAGUAAUGAUCUAUGAGAGUAACUUUUUUCGAUAACUUAAAAUUUAAAAAGGUGGGUAAGUGGAUGUCGCUCUGCUAUACGGUAGGUUACAAGUGGG